Molecule: long non-coding RNA, 238 nt
Organism: Portunus trituberculatus (swimming crab)
Lineage: Eukaryota; Metazoa; Arthropoda; Malacostraca; Decapoda; Portunidae
Exons: 3
Source: RefSeq, a predicted model, not a curated record
UUAGGUACAGAUGAGGAUGCUGACCUUUCUUCCCGCCUCCCUUGGAUAGACCUCCUCCCGCCCCGGUCAGCUGCUAAGUGGGAGUUGUCAAUAUACCAGUCGCCAGGAAGUCCCCGCCGCCACCCAGCCACCCAGGUGAAGAGUCCACACCACAGCCGCCACUCCUUCAGACACUACUACAGACACUCCUGCAGCUCCCACGGUGUCUGAGAAGGACCGCCCUGUGACCUUGAUGGAU